GUCCCUGUAGCGCAAUUGAUAGAUAGGGACGUUGGACUUCUCAUUCAAAAAAGUCGUGGGUUCGAAUUCCACCUGGGAUG
Non-coding RNA from Trichonephila clavipes, 80 nucleotides. Lineage: Eukaryota; Metazoa; Arthropoda; Arachnida; Araneae; Nephilidae. The record is from the annotation of a GenBank genome assembly.